This is a long non-coding RNA of Mus musculus (house mouse), 592 nucleotides long. RefSeq annotates it as predicted gene, 33409. The transcript is spliced from 2 exons. NCBI's taxonomy places the organism in Eukaryota, Metazoa, Chordata, Mammalia, Rodentia, Muridae. The record is from RefSeq and is a predicted model, not a curated record.
AGAGCCGUAUUUCCGGGUUGGGGCCCGGCGCGCUUGUCGAGGGAGGCUGAGCGAGCCAAUCAGAAGUGACGGGGAGGGGCCGGGGCCGGAGCGCCGAGCUGUCAUCCGCGUUCCCUGUCAGGUAAACUGAGGCUCCGUAGCCAGCGGGCCAAGGUCACGCCUGGGGCAGCAGCAAGGCUGAGCUCGAACCUACUGCCAGGACAACUUGAAUCUGAUUCACAGGUCACGAGUAAUCUGGGAGAGAAAUUGGGCUAUGAUUUGAAGCAGAAAACAAGCCGUCCUGUCACUCCUGAUGAACCUGUUUUUGCCAAUAUUUUGAUGGACGUCUUUGUGAGCUUGCUUUUUUUUUUUUUUUCCUUUCCCAGCAGGAUCUCACUAUCGAGAACAGACUGGCCUCCUACUUGCGGCAAUCCUGUCUCAGCCUCCCAGCUGCUGAAAUGACAGGAGUGCUGAGGACUUGCCUGCAUAGCAGGCAUCAUACUGAGCCAUCUCUACAGACCUUCCCCAUUUUUUUUUCAGUGUUGGGAAUUAACUCAAGACCUCACACAUGCUAGAUCAUCUCAAAAUUAAAUGUUUCUAAAUUACACCCAUA